CUCGACAACGGAUAUCUCAGCUCUCGCAUUGAUGAAGAACCGUAGUACAAUGCGAUACUUUGUGUGAAUUGCAAAAUCCCGUGAACCAUGGAGCUUUUGAAUGCAAGUUGUGCCCCGAAGCCUUUUGCCGAAAGCACGUUUUUAUGGGUGGCACG
RNAcentral lists this ribosomal RNA (155 nucleotides) under Begonia formosana x Begonia aptera. RNAcentral's name for it is "5.8S ribosomal RNA". It matches the Rfam family "5.8S ribosomal RNA". Rfam says of the family: 5.8S ribosomal RNA (5.8S rRNA) is a component of the large subunit of the eukaryotic ribosome. It is transcribed by RNA polymerase I as part of the 45S precursor that also contains 18S and 28S rRNA. Lineage: Eukaryota; Viridiplantae; Streptophyta; Magnoliopsida; Cucurbitales; Begoniaceae. The record is from RNAcentral.